GGGUUGUGAGGUUAAGCGACUAAGCGUACACGGUGGAUGCCCUGGCAGUCAGAGGCGAUGAAGGACGUGCUAAUCUGCGAAAAGCGUCGGUAAGGUGAUAUGAACCGUUAUAACCGGCGAUGUCCGAAUGGGGAAACCCAGUGCAAUUCGUUGCACUAUCGUUAACUGAAUACAUAGGUUAACGAGGCGAACCGGGGGAACUGAAACAUCUAAGUACCCCGAGGAAAAGAAAUCAACCGAGAUUCCCCCAGUAGCGGCGAGCGAACGGGGAGCAGCCCAGAGUCUGAAUCAGCUUGUGUGUUAGUGGAACGGUCUGGAAAGUCCGACGGUACAGGGUGAUAGUCCCGUACACCAAAAUGCACAGGCUGUGAACUCGAAGAGUAGGGCGGGACACGUGGUAUCCUGUCUGAAUAUGGGGGGACCAUCCUCCAAGGCUAAAUACUCCUGACUGACCGAUAGUGAACCAGUACCGUGAGGGAAAGGCGAAAAGAACCCCGGCGAGGGGAGUGAAAAAGAACCUGAAACCGUGUACGUACAAGCAGUGGGAGCACCUUCGGGUGUGACUGCGUACCUUUUGUAUAAUGGGUCAGCGACUUAUAUUCUGUAGCAAGGUUAACC
Molecule: ribosomal RNA, 618 nt
Filed under: Klebsiella pneumoniae
Lineage: Bacteria; Pseudomonadati; Pseudomonadota; Gammaproteobacteria; Enterobacterales; Enterobacteriaceae
Description: partial 23S ribosomal RNA
Rfam family: Bacterial large subunit ribosomal RNA
Source: RNAcentral